UUAAUUUACAUUUGUAUGGAGUUGGAACUUUUGCCUACGUUUGCCGCUAGGGGCGCUGUUCCAACUGCAUACAAAUUUGAGUUA
Non-coding RNA from Bombyx mori (domestic silkworm), 84 nucleotides. NCBI's taxonomy places the organism in Eukaryota, Metazoa, Arthropoda, Insecta, Lepidoptera, Bombycidae. The record is from Rfam.